This 497-nucleotide ribosomal RNA is filed under the name uncultured bacterium. RNAcentral describes it as "partial 16S ribosomal RNA". It matches the Rfam family "Bacterial small subunit ribosomal RNA", at positions 28 to 507 of the family's 1533-position model. The record is from RNAcentral.
GAUGAACGCUGGCGGCGUGCCUAAUACAUGCAAGUCGAGCGAACAGACGAGGAGCUUGCUCCUCUGACGUUAGCGGCGGACGGGUGAGUAACACGUGGAUAACCUACCUAUAAGACUGGGAUAACUUCGGGAAACCGGAGCUAAUACCGGAUAAUAUAUUGAACCGCAUGGUUCAAUAGUGAAAGACGGUUUUGCUGUCACUUAUAGAUGGAUCCGCGCCGCAUUAGCUAGUUGGUAAGGUAACGGCUUACCAAGGCAACGAUGCGUAGCCGACCUGAGAGGAUGAUCAGCCACACUGGAACUGAGACACGGUCCAGACUCCUACGGGAGGCAGCAGUAGGGAAUCUUCCGCAAUGGGCGAAAGCCUGACCGAGCAACACCGCGUGAGUGAUGAAGGUCUUCGGAUCGUAAAACUCUGUUAUUAGGGAAGAACAAAAGUGUAAGUAACUCUGCACGUCUUGACGGUACCUAAUCAGAAAGCAACGGCUAACUACGUG